This 274-nucleotide ribosomal RNA is filed under the name uncultured bacterium. RNAcentral describes it as "partial 16S ribosomal RNA". It matches the Rfam family "Bacterial small subunit ribosomal RNA", at positions 523 to 796 of the family's 1533-position model. The record is from RNAcentral.
AUACGGAGGGUGCAAGCGUUAAUCGGAAUUACUGGGCGUGAAGCGCUCGUAGGCGGCUUGUAAAGUCGGAUGUGAAAGCCCCGGGCUCAACCUGGGAACUGCAUUCGAUACUGGCAGGCUAGAGUAUAGUAGAGGCAAGUGGAAUUCCGGGUGUAGCGGUGAAAUGCGUAGAUAUCCGGAGGAACAUCAGUGGCGAAGGCGACUUGCUGGACUAAUACUGACGCUAAGGAGCGAAAGCGUGGGGAGCAAACGGGAUUAGAAACCCCUGUAGUCC